Molecule: ribosomal RNA, 1011 nt
Filed under: human gut metagenome
Description: bacterial LSU rRNA
Rfam family: Bacterial large subunit ribosomal RNA
Source: RNAcentral
CCCGGUAAACGGCGGCCGUAACUAUAACGGUCCUAAGGUAGCGAAAUUCCUUGUCAGGUAAGUUCUGACCCGCAUGAAAGGCGUAAUGAUCUGGGCACUGUCUCAACAGCCCGCCCGGCGAAAUUGUAGUACCGGUGAAGAUGCCGGUUACCCGCGACAAGACGGAAAGACCCCAUGGAGCUUUACUGUAGCCUAAUAUUGGGUUUCGAUGUUGCAUGCACAGGAUAGAUGGGACACAGGGAAACAAGUGCUUUGGCAUUUGUGGAGUGGCCGUUGGGAUACCAUCCUUGCGAUAUUGGAAUUCUAACCUGCGCCUUUGAAUCAAGGCGGGGGACAUUGUUAGGUGGGCAGUUUGACUGGGGCGGUCGCCUCCUAAAGAGUAACGGAGGCGUUCAAAGGUUCGCUCAGCUUGAACGGAAAUCAAGCAAAAGAGUGCAAACGCAGAAGCGAGCCUAACUGCGAGACUGACGGGUCGAGCAGUAACGAAAGUUGGAGUUAGUGAUCCGGUGGUAUGUGAGUGGAAAUGCCAUCGCUCAACGGAUAAAAGUUACCCUGGGGAUAACAGGCUGAUCUCCCCCAAGAGUCCACAUCGACGGGGAGGUUUGGCACCUCGAUGUCGGCUCAUCGCAUCCUGGGGCUGAAUUCGGUCCCAAGGGUUUGGCUGUUCGCCAAUUAAAGCGGUACGCGAGCUGGGUUCAGAACGUCGUGAGACAGUUCGGUCCCUAUCUGUCGUGGGCGCAGGAUAUUUGAUGGGAGCUGUUCCUAGUACGAGAGGACCGGAGCGGACGUACCUCUGGCGCACCAGUUGUUCUGCCAAGGGCAUAGCUGGGCAACUAUGUACGGAUCGGAUAAACGCUGAAAGCAUCUAAGCGUGAAGCCGACCCAAAGAUAAGAUAUCCCAUUGUUUCAAACAAGUAAGACCCCUUGAAGACUACAAGGUUGAUAGGCACGAUGUGUAAGUGGAGUGAUCCAUUCAGCAAGCGUGUACUAAUAGGUCGAGGGCUUGACCAC